AGGCCUUGGGGAAAUGCACCUGGUGCAGCAGCUAAUCGAGUGGCUUUAGAAGCCUGUGUACAAGCUCGUAACGAAGGGCGCGAUCUUGCUCGCGAAGCUUGUGAAGUAUGGAAGGCGAUCAAAUUCGAGUUCGAGCCGGUAGAUACUAUUGAUUAA
This 156-nucleotide ribosomal RNA is filed under the name Triticum aestivum (bread wheat). Its description in RNAcentral is "partial small subunit ribosomal RNA". Lineage: Eukaryota; Viridiplantae; Streptophyta; Magnoliopsida; Poales; Poaceae. The record is from RNAcentral.